GACACUAACCAGAGUUCAGGCAGGCUGCAGAGGUUAAGGGCUUAUUCCCACAAGACCGCUCCCACUUCAGAUCCAAUCGCAAGUAGUAGGUCCUCAGGUUAUCCACAAUUUCUGUCCAACUUGGCUACAAAUCAGAGGUUUCCACGAUCCUGUCCUUGAAUUCAAUCAUUUGCUCUAACAGCUCACAGAACUCAGGGAAACACAUUUACCAGUCGAUUACGUAAUAAAGGAUAAUAAAGGAUAUAGAUGAACAGCCAGAUGAAGAGAUACAAAGGCAAGGUCUAGAAGGGUCCUGAGCACAGGAGCUUCUGUUUUCAAGGGUGUACCACCCUCCCAGCAUGUGGAGUUCACCAAACCAGAAGCUCUCUGAACUCUGUACUUUCGAGAUUUCUAUGGAGACUUCCUCACAUAGGCAUGAUUGAGCAUUAACUCAGUUUCCAGCCCCUCUCCCUUCCUAGAGGAUGGGAGUGGGGCUGGGGCUAGGAGUCCCAAGCUUCUAAUGCUCACUCCAUUAGAACAAAAGGCAUUCCAGGAAGUGAUUCAGGAAAUUCCAAGGGAUUUCAGAACUCUGUGUCAGGAACUAGGGGCAGACACCAAUACAGACACACCUCAUUUUAUUGUGCUUUGUUUUAUUGUGCUUCAUAGAUGUUGCAUUUUUGGUAACUUAAAGGCAAGACCCUCUACCAGCAAAAAGAUUAUGAUCUGCUUUAUUGCAAUACUCAUUUUAUUGUAGCAGUCUGGAACUGGACCCACAAUUCCUCCCAGAUUCCAAUCCAUCUUCAAGAAUAGGCUUGUGAUCUUGGCCUACCCAAUGAAACAAUAUGAGGGCAUUUGCUGAAACUACUGGAAAAGAGAAACUUUUUUUACCUGGGAAUUGUUGACUGAGUGGAUUAUAAACCUGGAGCUGCAGGCAGUCAUCUUGUCACCGCAAGGGAAGUGUUUGGCUGCUACCUGGCAAGAAAGCCCAGAAACAAAGAGAGACCUGAUAAGUGGAGAAAUCACUUGAGCGCCUGAUUCCAGCCAUACCUGAAGGAUGUUUUUCUCCGGCAGGAUGAAGAAAGAGUAAGCAACAGAGGAAGGCCAUACAGAGGGCUUCGAAGAUACUGGAAUGUCCCAUUAGACCAGUGGCACCACCCUCUUCCAGGCCGCUGUCAUCUCUCGGCUGGAUUACUGCCACAGCUUGCUCACUGGACACCCUGCCUCCAGUCUUACACUCCUGCAGUCACCAUACCGUGACCAGAGUGAAGCCUUUAGGGGAUUGGUCAGAUCGAGACCCUCCAGUCAAUUCCUAUGUCACUUAGAUUAAAAGACAGACUCCUCAGUGGUCCAGUGCCUGCCAUGUCUCCACCCCAUCUCCAGUCACUCUCCUCUAGCUCACAGCACUCCAGAAACACGGGCUUCUUUUCUGUUUCUUGAACACACCAAGGUGACCCCCACCUUGGGGCUCAGAAGAUUCUUCAUCUAGGUCUUUCUGUGUAGGUCUUU
Molecule: long non-coding RNA, 1485 nt
Organism: Pteropus alecto (black flying fox)
Lineage: Eukaryota; Metazoa; Chordata; Mammalia; Chiroptera; Pteropodidae
Exons: 4
Source: RefSeq, a predicted model, not a curated record